UGGGGAAUAUUGCACAAUGGGCGCAAGCCUGAUGCAGCAACGCCGCGUGAGGGACGACGGCCUUCGGGUUGUAAACCUCUUUUGGCAGGGAAGAAGCGAAAGUGACGGUACCUGCAGAAAAAGCACUGGCUAACUACGUGCCAGCAGCCGCGGUGAUACGUAGGGUGCAAGCGUUGUCCGGAAUUAUUGGGCGUAAAGAGCUCGUAGGCGGUUUGUCGCGUCUGCUGUGAAAACCCGAGGCUCAACCUCGGGCCUGCAGUGGGUACGGGCAAACUAGAGUGCGGUAGGGGAGAUUGGAAUUCCUGGUGUAGCGGUGGAAUGCGCAGAUAUCAGGAGGAACACCGAUGGCGAAGGCAGAUCUCUGGGCCGUAACUGACGCUGAGGAGCGAAAGCAUGGGGAGCGAACA
RNAcentral lists this ribosomal RNA (407 nucleotides) under uncultured bacterium. RNAcentral's name for it is "bacterial SSU rRNA". It matches the Rfam family "Bacterial small subunit ribosomal RNA", at positions 355 to 774 of the family's 1533-position model. The record is from RNAcentral.